GCAAGGGCAGGCAUUGGAGCCGCGGUUGGGAGAGGUGCUGCGCUGCGCCUCUCCCAACCGUGGCUCCUAUGCCUGCUUUUGC
Molecule: microRNA precursor, 82 nt
Filed under: Podarcis lilfordi (Lilford's wall lizard)
Lineage: Eukaryota; Metazoa; Chordata; Lepidosauria; Squamata; Lacertidae
Source: RNAcentral